UCACACUGAGUAGCAUUUGCUCCUAUAUGUCACAGAAUCCCCAACUUUUAGGACUGAAAAGAAAACUGAAGUCCUUUAAGCCCUCUCAUCUCCCCAGCCAUUUGAUUAUGACAUUUCUAUUUGGUCUCUGACUCUGCUUGGGUACCUCCUGGGAUGGCGAACACUGCUCUGGGGAAUCCCUGCCUUCUUUGGGUUACUCUAUAGAUGUCAAUUAGCUCUGUUUACAGGUGUGAUGUAUUUAAACUGCUUUCCAGUUGCAGGGAACAGGAAGCUGUCCCCUAUUCAACUACAAUAAUGUAGGCUGCCAGAGAACAGGACACAAAUGAUCAUUUGGAAGAUAAUUCAGCAAAUAACUCAAUGACAUACUCACAGAUGAAGGAUUCAGGCUCUAGACUCUCUGCCUACCCAGUUCCUGGGAGGGGCGGGGUCCAGUCCAGCUGAAGAUAAGGUCCUGAGAAUGAGGCAGAACCCAGUUAAUUCAGACACGUUUUACAGACAAGGCCUCAAAAAUCCCGAAGGAACUUUUUUUUUUUUUUUUUACAUCUUUAUUGGAGUAUAAUUGCUUUACAAUGGUCCAAAGGAACCUUUGAAGUCACCCUUCUCCUGAGUUCACAGGACUCACAAACAAUACCAUCCAUCCCUGGUUAUUCAUGCUCAUUAAACGUCAGAAUAAAGAGCUUAGAGCUCAGGAGGGGCUCCAUCCCCAUUACUCCGGGGCCGCUUAGCUGCAUUUAUGAUGAGAAGGCCCUGGGGUGUCUAACUACCCGAUUUGCUUAAUAAAGUCCUCCCGGUCCUGCUGAUGUUACCAGCUUCAUGUCGCACAUUCUUGUGCUAUUGGGGUGGUGCCAGAAUGUAUUUAAAUAUCCCAUUGUGUCUAUUUCAUUUUUAUUUAAAGGAAAUGAAUUUCAAGGUUUAAAGCAGAUUUUCUAAUGCAAAUGCACCUAUGCAGCUAGGUGUGAGGAGCCAGAGGUAAGGGAAGGGUUACAGUAUAGGAACUGUAGGAGGCAUUCAAGGCUCAUCUAGCUGGAGGUCCUGUUCUCCUGUGAACUGUGGCUUGUGAGACGGUGGAUUCUCAUUGUUAGCAAGUACAUAUUUGUAUAAACCUGAAUUUUCAUUUAGUGCUUAAUAGAUUUAAUUUUACCUUAAUGAUAUAUUUUAUUUCUUUUUUUUGGUAUAAAUUUACUUAUUUAUUUUUGGCUGUGUUGGGUCUUUGUUGCUGUGUGCGGGCUUUCUCUAGUUGGGAUGAGCGGGGGCUACUCUUCGUUGCGGUGCGUGGGCUUCUCAUUGUGGUGGCUUCUCUUGUUGCGGUGGCUUCUCUUGUUGCGGAGUACGGGCUCUAGGCGUGUGGGCUUCAGUAGUUGUGGCUCGCAGGCUCCAGAGCACAGGCUCAGUAGUUGUGGUGCAUGGGCUUAGUUGCUCCGUGGCAUGUGGGAUCUUCCCGGACCAGGGCUCAAACCCAUGUCCCCUGCACUGGCAGGCGGAUUCUUAACCACUGCGCCACCAGGGAAGCCCCAAUGAUAUAUUUUAAAUGGACUCCUAGAAGGUUUGGAUUGGACCUUAGAACUUAAUUUGACCAAUCCCUCCUGUUACAGAUGAAAAAAUUGAGGCCCAGAGAGGUUAAAGUUUUUUCCCCAAAUCACACAGGUAGUAAUAAGUGUAGGGCUGGGAUUCAAGUCUAGAUUUUAAAAUUUCAGAUGGUAUUGGUUCAAAACUCACCCCACGUGCAGUGAGAUAAGCUUCUUUAGCAGUCUCUCUGGCAUAAAAGGGAAGUGUUAAUGUUUCCUCGUCCUCUAGCUCCGAGAUCCUGUUUAUUUGGAAUUAGCUUGGUGGAAGGAUCAACUUGCCUGCUCACAGCUGCUGUCCCUUCUCAUGCCACAUUGAAGAGGAACCACAACCCCCUCUCCUUGACCUCCCCUCACAUGCUGCACACACGGCAGCUACAUACGUACAGCAGACUUUAUAUGAAACUUGAGGAAACAGAGGUUUGUGUCACCAUGUUGCUCGUUUCCCCUUCUUUUUAGAGCACGCUUCUGUAGGAUUCAUCCCAGAAAUUCCCCCAUUUCAAAGCACAGAGUAACAUAGCUCAUCAAUUCCCUUUCACUCAGGACUACGUUUUGCUGCAACAGAGACCUGUAAAACAAUGCCUUAAAUAAGGUUUACAAUUUUUCUCUCAUGUAAGUCUGGAGGUAGGCAUUCUAGGGCUGGUAAGGUAGUGCCACAAUCUCAUCAAUGUCCUAACCUCCUCUCAUCUUUCCAUUUUGCCAUCCUUAGCACAAGCCUACUGUCCUCAAGCAAGAUCACCUCAGGACUGCAAAAUGACUGCUGCAGCACAAGUCAUUACAUCCAUGUUUCAGAUCUGGAGGUUGGAAGUCCAGGAUCAAGGAGUCAGUAGGUUUGGUUUCCACUGAAGCCUCUCUCUGGCUUACAAAGGGCUGCCUUCUCCCUGUUUCCUCAUGUUUCUGUCUCCUCUGCCUUCUCACUGUAUUCCCUCUUUCCUUCUGUUCCCUAAUCUUCUCUUUAAAGACCCCAGUCAGAUUAGAUUAGGACCCAUCCCAAUGGCCACAGUUUACCUGUUUCAAGGCCCUGUUUCCAAAUAUGGUCAUGGUCUGAGGUACUAGGGGUUAGGACUUCAAAACAUGAAUUUCAGCCCAUAGCAGUUGCACUGAUCUUAAUACACCUAGUUAUAUUCUCCAUGGGAGAAAGAAAACAAGGAUGAGGUCAGACACUCUCCUUCUACAGCCUGCUUUUCCCUUUUCACUCUUUUCCUCAGGCCUUCAAUCCAGAACGUCCUAGCUCACUGCUCCUAAACGAUGCUCUCACUAUAAAUUGCAUAGAAACAUAAGACAUCAAAACCUAGUUUUACGUUUCUUUGUGUAUAAGAAAUAGUAAGAGUCACUGAAGUCGGUGCUUGCAGUCUGAGACUUUUCUAAAAAGAGUUCAGUGCAUUAUUCAAGUUGAAAAAAUAAUAAUUUGGACCUUAGCCUGUCUCCAGCAGAUGGACGACGCUGCCCGUCCCCUGCCCUUUCUUAAGAAGUUCCCUUUAUUCUGUGAUACCCUAAAGUGUCUGCUGGCAUGGUGGUUUACAAGCACCUUCUCACGUGGUGAAUAAUUAGGUCCUAAUCACCACCCAGUGAAGUAGAGAAAUAAUUUGAAUCCCUGUUGUACAGAUGAGAUAACUGGAGCAUAAAGAAUGUGGGAUUUUCAAGGUCACACAGCAAGAAAGGCACAAAGCCAGCUUCCAUUUCUCAGUCUAGGUAAUAUGAAUUCCACAGUUCCAUGUUGCCUUCUCUCCCCAAAGUGGCGGUCCAUCCACCAAGUUUUUGUUUCAAUUGGGGUGCAGUGGUGCUAGUCAUUGGGAGGGGGAACAACUGAAAACACUAUGAUGACUCAGGGCAGUCAAUAAGAAAAUGGACUUUCUCGGUGAGGCAGAGAUGGGGAAGUAGUCAUCUCUUUCUUCUGAUAGCAGGGCGUACGUUUUGUUUUUCAAUCGGCAUGCUCACUGGAUCCUUCUUAUUACCCUUUGCUUUUCAUGCUUUUAAAGCUUACCCACAAGCAUUUUUUUCAUUCCAUCUGUAUUUAGUAGUUGUUGUUCUACUACAAAGAAGACUUUCCUCUCUUCUCCAUCUAUUUGUGUACUCAUUUAUUAAUUUAUAUCACUAUAGUCUCACGGUUUCUUAUUUUAUUCAGUGAGUUUUUGUUUUAUUCCACGGGUUUCGAUGACCAGACUGUGCUUGUUCAGUGGGAACCCCUUCAUUCUGGCUCCUGGGUCCUCUUGACAUGUUCCCAUAAGUCCAUGAGCCUAUCCUUACUUGGCACAAAAAGGUGUUCCACAUUCUUCUCAUAUUUUCACUGCCCCAGCCUUAAACUCACUGUAUUUUGAGAACUGGUGGAUACCACCCAGUGUUAAAAGUAGAAGUCUUGAACCACUGUAGGAGCCAGAGGAGACAGUGAUUUCUCCUCAAAUUAUGACCCUUCUUGACCUUCAGAUGAAAGGAUUAAGAGGAUGAUUGCCCCCAUGUGCUUGUAAUUCAUCCCAAGGAUAAACAAAUCUACUGUCUUAAGUUUCUCAUGAUUUCCAUUUCAUGGAAGAGAAUUUCAAACUGAGCCUCAGAGACACUAGGCGGGAAAUGGGAAUUCAAAUCUGUGGGAUAGGGUAACGGGAGAUCAAUACGGAACGGACUGCCGCCCUUACUAACAGUGACCCUGACCCACACAAGCCUGUGUGUGGGAGGAGCUUGGGCUCCUCCCAAGGAGCCUGCAGAGCCGGCGGCGAGCAGGAAGCCUCAGAGUACAGAGGACCAUGUCACUCUUAACUCCCAGAUGGUGAAAGGUAAGCCUCUGUCCUGGGGACACCGGAGUGGGCGGGGUGUCCUUUCUACACUCACAGGUGCAGCCAGAGCUGACUCUAAGAUAAGACAGGUUUGAUCAUGGCUCGUUUUCCUUUCCAUUAAAAAUAAUUUCAAUUAGGAAAGACUUUAAACUUACAGAAAGUUACAGAUAAAAAUGUCAUAAGCACCAAUGUACCCAUCACCAGACGGAGGAAAUGUUAACAUUAGCCUUAGAUCCUUUUAGAAAGAAAAUAAAGCUACAGAUAAAAUUGAAACCCAAUUGCCCUCCCUCUCUCUCCAGAGACAACUCUCAAGUUAGUACGCAGCUUCUCGGUGCUCAAUAUUACUUUGUUUUCACGUGGGUAAACACCAAUAUAUAGUAUUGCCUUGUGUACUUAAAACAUUUCAUAAGCAGUAUUGUUACCCACGCUAUGCAGCCAAGGCUCCAGGCGCGGAAACUGUUUUCUUUUUUUCAAUCAUACAGGUUAGUUGUUUAUCAACAGGAAGCCACGAAGGCCAGAAACGAAACCAGACUGAACCAGCUAGGUCCAAGAUGGCGGGCAAAGUAGGCUAAAGUACCUGGUGUUUGGUAGAGAUGCUUCGCGGGCUGUACUUUGAGAGAUACACAGUGGUCAACCAUCCCAAACCAGCUCUGACGACCACGGGAACACACCUGCGCAGAUGAAACCAGGGGGCUGUCCCAGCAUUACCUUCGCUUCAUUACCUUGCUAACAUCUCCGCCCAAAGCGGGGAUUUGUGCUCUCCUAGGCACAAUUUGUUCCACGUGCAAAGGAGCGUGGCGGACUGCGCAUGACCUGGCUGCCCCUGGAAAUCUCCGCCCCUUUCCUAGAGCCCUGAUGACCUUCUCCCUCCUAACCCUAAAAUUCCCUUACUCCCCUCUUUGGGGAGAAGGUGCUUCUAGAGUUUGAGCUUCCCUUCUCCAUUCUCUGGCCUUUGGGUAAAAGCCUGUUUUGCUUGCACCAAACUCAAUUUCAUUAUUGGGAGCUCGAAACUGAGUGGGAAAGAACUCCCUGUCUGAUAGGGGUUGGGGGAAGGGAGAGCUUAGGUUCAGCUAGGGCACCAAGAGUGGGGGGUCUCACGUCUAAUUCAGUAACAUUACCAUACUGCUUGUAUCCGUUUUCAACUGGCUUUUUUUUUUUUCCGGUACGUGGGCUUCUCACUGUUGUGGCCUCUCCCGUUGCGGAGCACAGGCUCCAGACACGCAGGCUCAGCGGCCAUGGCUCACGGGCCUAGCCGCUCCGCGGCAUGUGGGAUCUUCCCGGACCGGGACACGAACCCGUGUCCCCUGUAUCGGCAGGCGGACUCUCAACCACUGCGCCACCAGGGAAGUCCUCAACUGGCUUUUGAUUUUCACCUAACAGUGAGAUUUAUUGAUAUUAAUAAUGUAGAUCUAGUUCAUUCAUUUUAUCUGAUAGUAUUUUGUUGUAUGACAUUUUUAUAAUGAUAUAUGAUAUUACUCUUAAUAGUCCUAAUGCUUUGUAUAUUGUAUUUUCUUUGAAGAUAAUAAACUCACCUGGAAUAAUGA
Long non-coding RNA from Orcinus orca (killer whale), 5874 nucleotides. RefSeq lists it as uncharacterized. The transcript is spliced from 3 exons. The record is from RefSeq and is a predicted model, not a curated record. NCBI's taxonomy places the organism in Eukaryota, Metazoa, Chordata, Mammalia, Artiodactyla, Delphinidae.